GGUUAAGCGAUUAAGCGUACACGGUGGAUGCCCUGGCAGUCAGAGGCGAUGAAGGGCGUGCUAAUCUGCGAUAAGCGCCGGUAAGGUGAUAUGAACCGUUAUAACCGGCGAUACCCGAAUGGGGAAACCCAGUGUGACUCGUCACACUAUCAUUAACUGAAUCCAUAGGUUAAUGAGGCGAACCGGGGGAACUGAAACAUCUAAGUACCCCGAGGAAAAGAAAUCAACCGAGAUUCCCCCAGUAGCGGCGAGCGAACGGGGAGGAGCCCAGAGCCUGAAUCAGCAUGUGUGUUAGUGGAAGCGUCUGGAAAGGCGCGCGAUACAGGGUGACAGCCCCGUACACAAAAGCGCAUGUGCUGUGAGCUCGAUGAGUAGGGCGGGACACGUAG
Molecule: ribosomal RNA, 389 nt
Filed under: Salmonella enterica subsp. enterica serovar Agona str. 400095 14
Lineage: Bacteria; Pseudomonadati; Pseudomonadota; Gammaproteobacteria; Enterobacterales; Enterobacteriaceae
Description: bacterial LSU rRNA
Rfam family: Bacterial large subunit ribosomal RNA
Source: RNAcentral